UUAAGUCAGAGACUAAGUCCAAGUAUACC
Molecule: small RNA, 29 nt
Filed under: Bombyx mori (domestic silkworm)
Lineage: Eukaryota; Metazoa; Arthropoda; Insecta; Lepidoptera; Bombycidae
Description: ovarian small RNA-36373
Source: RNAcentral